UGUGAUGGGGGUGGGGUGGGGAGAGGUUGUGAGAUGGUCUCUUUUUCUGCCCUUUUUAUUCUGUAAUCUGUUUCCUUUCCUGUCAGCUUUGAGAACCUGCCCUGCACCCCCACGAAGGAAAAAGAAAAAAAGAGAAAGGAAAAGAAAGCAAGGAUAGGUGUCUUGUAACAUCCCUAGCAGUUGCCAUGGUAAUCCAGGCUCUCAGCUUGGCCUUAGCAGAGAAAAAGAAACCCGGUCCUGCACAAACCCAGGAGCCCCUGCAUGAAAGUUAGCAGGGGUUGAUUCCACACCUGCAGGACUGUGCAGAUCUUUGUCCUCUGAGCUAAGGAACUACUCCUAACCUGCCUUGGCUAGUGUGAGGACUUGAUGUAUGUGGUCUGCCGGUGGGUUACAGCCACUGGCUCUCCAGCGGUACAAUCCUGGGGUCGCUUUUGCUCCUGGCUCAGUGCAUGGAGGGAGGUCUGAGAAGAAACCAGAGCUUAAAGGUCAAGGAGACAUUUUUAGCAGAAACUGGCACUGCUUUGACUUCAGGAGAGGUCACGUUAAGAACACUACCAAAUCCUGUGCAAAUUGAUAGCGCUGCUUAUGAAGUGCACAGAAA
Molecule: long non-coding RNA, 601 nt
Organism: Gavialis gangeticus (Gharial)
Lineage: Eukaryota; Metazoa; Chordata; Crocodylia; Gavialidae
Exons: 3
Source: RefSeq, a predicted model, not a curated record